AUGCACGCUGGCGGCGUGCCUAAUACCUGCAAGUCGAGCGAACAGACGAGGAGCUUGCUCCUCUGACGUUAGCGGCGGACGGGUGAGUAACACGUGGAUAACCUACCUAUAAGACUGGGAUAACUUCGGGAAACCGGAGCUAAUACCGGAUAAUAUAUUGAACCGCAUGGUUCAAUAGUGAAAGACGGUUUUGCUGCCACUUAUAGAUGGAUCCGCGCCGCAUUAGCUAGUUGGUAAGGUAACGGCUUACCAAGGCAACGAUGCGUAGCCGACCUGAGAGGGUGAUCGGCCACACUGGAACUGAGACACGGUCCAGACUCCUACGGGAGGCAGCAGUAGGGAAUCUUCCGCAAUGGGCGAAAGCCUGACGGAGCAACGCCGCGUGAGUGAUGAAGGUCUUCGGAUCGUAAAACUCUGUUAUUAGGGAAGAACAAAUGUGUAAGUAACUAUGCACGUCUUGACGGUACCUAAUCAGAAAGCCACGGCUAACUACGUG
This 496-nucleotide ribosomal RNA is filed under the name uncultured bacterium. RNAcentral describes it as "partial 16S ribosomal RNA". It matches the Rfam family "Bacterial small subunit ribosomal RNA", at positions 29 to 507 of the family's 1533-position model. The record is from RNAcentral.